RNAcentral lists this long non-coding RNA (809 nucleotides) under Ictidomys tridecemlineatus (thirteen-lined ground squirrel). RNAcentral's name for it is "lncRNA (ENSSTOG00000033295.1)". Lineage: Eukaryota; Metazoa; Chordata; Mammalia; Rodentia; Sciuridae. The record is from RNAcentral.
CAGAAAACAAGCACCCUCAGUAAACAUGACCUAAUGAGGGUGGUGGCCUUCAACUGCCUGGGAGGUACCAGAAGAACCCUACAAAGAGCCAGGGCUCUCACACAGACAGGCAACACCUGCCAAAGAAGUCUCUGAAUUAGAUGAAUUCGGAACUCUGUAAGGGGGACAGUUUGUCGUGCCCAGUAGCUUCCCACUGGACUCUGGAGCCUGGCCUGCAAGAGCCAAAUUAUGAUCCUGAUCAACUUAAUCUGAUUGAACUACAGAAAAAUGAGUUGUUACUUAACAAGUUGUUGGAUAGUUGGGAGUCACAAUUAUUGGAGAUCACUGUCCAUAAGACUAGAUUGCUUCCAUCUCCAGAAUGCAUCUGACCCUGAACUCUUAGUCAAACUUGAGAAUUCUAAUAGAAGAGCACUAAAUUGUUCUGCAUCACAGAAGGAAAAGAAUGUGAGCCUUCCAGAGCACUUCAAGACACAAGUAUGCAAAGAAGCAGCUGUGGGAGAGAAGAGGUGAUCCAGGAGACAGGCAGCCUAAAGAAGACAAGGAUAGAUUUAUAAAAGCUGUUAAAACAAUCUUUUAAGAAGCUUAGAGACUAACAUGAAACUGAGUAGUAUAUUGUUAAUUUUGACACUUCUAGGAAAUUAUCAUAAUCCUCUGUUCUAGCUGUUGAGGAAAGGCCAAAUGAGUUUUGAAGAGCAAAAUGACAUUUUCAUCCACCAAGACUUCAAAGCAAUGACUACCAAAAAAAAUUCCUAGAAGUCAUAUAACUUUUCUACUAAUGAAAAAAUUUUUUUGUUAUAUCUUAUUCACUU